Molecule: ribosomal RNA, 1327 nt
Filed under: Coleoptera sp. ACP-2013
Lineage: Eukaryota; Metazoa; Arthropoda; Insecta; Coleoptera
Description: 16S ribosomal RNA
Rfam family: Archaeal large subunit ribosomal RNA (bases 1086-1245)
Source: RNAcentral
UGAAAUUAUAAUAUUAUUAAUAAUAUUAUUUUUUUUAUAAUUUAUAUUAGUAAAUUAAAUAGUUUUAGUAUUUUAUUAGAAAAAAUAUUAAUUUAUUAUAGUGUAUAAGUAAUGUGAAUGAUUUUUUUUAAUUUUUUAAAAAAAAGAUUUAAAUUUUCGUACCUUUUGUAUCAGGGUUUAUUAAAAAAUUUUUUUUGAUAAAAAUUUCUCGAAUCUAAAAGAGCUAAUUAAAUAUAAUUUUUAUUGUAAAAUAAAUAUUAGGGAUAUUUAAUUGGAAAUGAAAUGUUAAUCGAUUUUAGAUAUAUCUAGUUUUUUAAGAAAUAAAUUUAAUUUAUCUAUUUAAUAAUAAUAAUUUAUUUAAUUAAUUUAUUAUUUUAAAUAUAUUAUAUUUUUAGGGAUGAGCUUAAAAAUAUAUAUAUUUAUAAAUUAUUAAAUUUUAUUAAUAAAAAAUAAAUAUGAUUGAGAAUGUCAAUUUUUAAAAAAAUAUUAUAGUUAAUUUUUUUUUUAUUAUAUUUAUAUUAAUUUUAAAUUUUUUAUUAAAAUAUUUAAUUUAGUUUAGUAAUUAAAGAAAAAAUGAUAAAAUUAGUAAAUAUUUAUAUAUAUAUAUAUAUAUAUAUAUAAUUUAUGUAUAUAUAUAUUUUUUUGUAAGGUUAUUUAAAGGAAUUCGGCAAAUGGAAUUUUCACCUGUUUAAUAAAAACAUGUCUUUUUGAUUAUAAUUUAAAGUCUAACCUGCCCAAUGAGGAAUUAAAUGGCCGCAGUAUUUUAACUGUGCAAAGGUAGCAUAAUCAUUAGUUUUUUAAUUAAAAGCUUGAAUGAAAGGUUUGAUGAAAAAAUAACUGUCUCUAUUUAAUUUUAUUUUGAAUUUUAUUUUUAAGUUAAAAAGCUUAAAUUUUAUUAAAAGACGAGAAGACCCUAUAGAGUUUAAUAAUUAAUUAAAUUUAUAAUAUUUUGAUUUUAUAAAAUAAUUAAAAUUAAUUAUUUAAUUGGGGUGAUUUAAAAAUUUGUUUAACUUUUUUUAUAUAAAAACAUUUAUGUAUGAUUAAAUGAUCCUUAUUUAAAGAUUAAAAGAUAAAAUUACCUUAGGGAUAACAGCGUAAUUUUUUUAUAGAGUUCAUAUCGAAAGAAAAGAUUGCGACCUCGAUGUUGGAUUAAAAUUAAUUUUUGGUGUAGAAGCUAAAAGUGGGAGGUCUGUUCGACCUUUAAAAUUUUACAUGAUCUGAGUUUAAACCGGUGUAAGCCAGGUUGGUUUCUAUCUUUAAUAAAAGUAAUAUUUUAGUACGAAAGGACCAAAUAUUAAAUUUAAAAUUUUAAUUAUUAGAUUAUUAU